GGGCUAUAGCUCAGUGGUAGAGCAUCAGCUUUGCAUGCAGAAGGUCUCAGGUACAAUCCCUGGCAUCUCCG
Podarcis lilfordi (Lilford's wall lizard) is the source of this 71-nucleotide non-coding RNA. The record is from the annotation of a GenBank genome assembly. Lineage: Eukaryota; Metazoa; Chordata; Lepidosauria; Squamata; Lacertidae.